GCCGGUUUAGCUCAGAUGGAAGAGCGCCUGACCUGUAAUCAGGAUGUCGUGGGUUCGAAGCCUGCAACCGGCACCA
This 76-nucleotide transfer RNA is filed under the name Pantoea sp. B_2. RNAcentral describes it as "tRNA-Thr". It matches the Rfam family "tRNA". From Rfam's summary of the family: Transfer RNA (tRNA) molecules are approximately 80 nucleotides in length. Their secondary structure includes four short double-helical elements and three loops (D, anti-codon, and T loops). The record is from RNAcentral. RNAcentral also lists the same sequence under 29 other names. Lineage: Bacteria; Pseudomonadati; Pseudomonadota; Gammaproteobacteria; Enterobacterales; Erwiniaceae.